GACGAACGCUGGCGGCGUGCAUAACACAUGCAAGUCGAACGGAAAGGCCCUGCUUUUGUGGGGUGCUCGAGUGGCGAACGGGUGAGUAACACGUGAGUAACCUGCCCUUGACUUUGGGAUAACUUCAGGAAACUGGGGCUAAUACCGGAUAGGAGCUCCUGCUGCAUGGUGGGGGUUGGAAAGUUUCGGCGGUUGGGGAUGGACUCGCGGCUUAUCAGCUUGUUGGUGGGGUAGUGGCUUACCAAGGCUUUGACGGGUAGCCGGCCUGAGAGGGUGACCGGCCACAUUGGGACUGAGAUACGGCCCAGACUCCUACGGGAGGCAGCAGUGGGGAAUAUUGCACAAUGGGCGGAAGCCUGAUGCAGCAACGCCGCGUGCGGGAUGACGGCCUUCGGGUUGUAAACCGCUUUCGCCUGUGACGAAGCGUGAGUGACGGUAAUGGGUAAAGAAGCACCGGCUAACUACGU
This 467-nucleotide ribosomal RNA is filed under the name uncultured bacterium. Its description in RNAcentral is "partial 16S ribosomal RNA". It matches the Rfam family "Bacterial small subunit ribosomal RNA", at positions 28 to 506 of the family's 1533-position model. The record is from RNAcentral.